RNAcentral lists this long non-coding RNA (1121 nucleotides) under Selaginella moellendorffii. Its description in RNAcentral is "long non-coding RNA (SMOE_LNC000458)". Lineage: Eukaryota; Viridiplantae; Streptophyta; Lycopodiopsida; Selaginellales; Selaginellaceae. The record is from RNAcentral.
UCGAAAGCGCUUCCUGGGCCUACGAGCAAGCCAUGGAAGCUGGUUGCGUUAUGGAGGUGUACACCCACAACGCUUUCAUCGGAGCUCUCUGCAGGUCCGGAAAGUUUCCAUUAGCCAAAAACAUCUUACUGGGAAUGAUCGAGAGCGGAAGCUUACCGAACUUACUGUCUUACAACUUUGUGAUCGAUGGUCUCUGCAAAUCUGGAAACGUCGACGACGCGUGGAAGCUGUCCCGCAAGAUGCUUGACAGCGGUUGCUGCAAGCCCGACGUCAUCUUCUUCAACACGUUGAUAAGCGGCUUCUGCAAGGCAGGGAGGCUAUCACAAGCCCAGCAGUUGCUGAAAGAGAUGAAAGCAAAAAACAUCUGCGUACCCGAUGUGGUGACUUAUAACACAAUGAUCGACGGCCAGUCCAAAUUCGGCAGCCUCAAACAAGCCAAGUUGCUACUCGAGGAGAUGCAAGCCGUGGGCUGCAAGCCAAAUGUUGUGACUUAUGCGGCGUUGAUCAACGGCUAUGCCAAGCAUGGCAUGUAUGAGGAAGCCGAGAGCCUCUUUGACGAGAUGUCUGCCAAAGGCUGCUUCCCAGAUAUCAUCACGUACAACACGGUCCUCAGUGCCUUCAGCAAAGCCGGGAUGAUGUCCAAGGCCGAUGGAGUGUACCAGCAGCUCAAGAACAAAACCAGCUACUGCUCUCCAGAUGCAAUCACGUACAGGAUCCUGAUCGAUGGAUAUUGCAGAGCCGGGGACACUGAGCAAGGCUUGACGUUGCUCCAGGAGAUGACAGCUAGAGGUUGGAGCUGCGACUCCUACACGUAUAAUGUCCUCAUUGCCAAGCUUGCGGAAACCGAGGAAGUCCCUUCCAAAGCUCUUGCAGUCUACCAGCAGAUGCUUAACCAGGACUGUGUUCCCAGUGCCUCCAUUUUCAACUCGCUGGUCAGGCUCUUUCUCAGGACAGGAGAUGUAAACUCUGCGCGUAGCAUGGUCCAGGAGAUGAACGAGAAAGGCCACCUUGUCGAUGCUAGCAACCUGGAAGCCCUGAACAAGGAGAGUAACGACGCUUCUUAGGCUCUUAAGAACUCGCACUCUUUCCUGUAAUCCAGCUCCACGACUAAGUUGCUGUCG